GAUGAACGCUGGCUGCAGGCUUAACACAUGCAAGUCGAGGGGAAACGCCGGGGAAGUUUGCUUCCCAGGGUGUCGACCGGCGCACGGGUGAGUAACGCGUAACCAACCUGCCUCUGACUGAGGAAUAACCCGUCGAAAGUCGGCCUAAUACCUCAUGGUAUCGUCUGAGGGCAUCAUAGGAAGAUUCAGGAUUUCUUCGGUCAGGGAUGGGGCUGCGUCUGAUUGGCGUGUUGGCGGGGUAACGGCCCGCCAAAGCUACGAUUACUAGGGGUUCUGAGGGGAAGGCCCCCCACAUUGGAACUGCGGCACGGACCAAUCUGCGACGGAACACAGCAGUAAGGAAUGUAGGUCACGGGACGAUAGCGUGACCCAGCCAAGUAGCGUGCAGGAAGACUGCGCUAUGGGUUGUAUACUGCUUGUAUGCAGGGAUAAAGUGAGGGACGUGUCCCUCAUUGACGGUACCGCAUGAAUAAGCACCGGCUAAUUCCGUG
RNAcentral lists this ribosomal RNA (491 nucleotides) under uncultured bacterium. RNAcentral's name for it is "partial 16S ribosomal RNA". It matches the Rfam family "Bacterial small subunit ribosomal RNA", at positions 28 to 507 of the family's 1533-position model. The record is from RNAcentral.